RNAcentral lists this ribosomal RNA (271 nucleotides) under uncultured bacterium. Its description in RNAcentral is "partial 16S ribosomal RNA". It matches the Rfam family "Bacterial small subunit ribosomal RNA", at positions 335 to 596 of the family's 1533-position model. The record is from RNAcentral.
ACUCCUACGGGAGGCAGCAGUGGGGAAUAUUGCACAAUGGGCGCAAGCCUGAUGCAGCCAUGCCGCUGUGGUGAAGAAGGCCUUCGGGUUNUAAAGCACUUUCAGUUGUGAGGAAAGGUUAGUCGCUAAUAUCGGCUAGCUCGUGACGUUAGCAAUAGAAGAAGCACCGGCUAACUCCGUGCCAGAGCCCGCGGUAAUACGGAGGGUGCGAGCAGUUAAUCGGAAUUACUGGGCGUAAAGCGCAUGCAGGUGGUUUGUUAAGUCAGAUGUG